CGAGGAAUAUUGGGCAAUGCCCGCAAGGGUGACCCAGCAACGCCGCGUGGAGGAUGAAUGUCGUAAGAUUGUAAACUCCUGUUAGAGGGGAAGAAUAGUACCGGUUGGACCGGUAUAUGACUGUACCCUCAGAGAAAGCCCCGGCUAACUACGUGCCAGCAGCCGCGGUAAUACGUAGGGGGCAAGCGUUGUCCGGAUUUACUGGGUGUAAAGGGCGCGCAGGCGGGAUAAAAAGUCAGUGGUGAAAUCCUACAGCUUAACUGUAGAACUGCCUUUGAUACUUUUAUUCUUGAGUUCGGGAGAGAGAGACGGAAUUCCAGGUGCAGUGGUGAAAUACGUAGAUAUCUGGAAGAACACCAGUUGCGAAGGCGGUCUCUUGGUCCGACACUGACGCUGAGGCGCGAAAGCGUGGGGAGCAAACA
This 422-nucleotide ribosomal RNA is filed under the name uncultured bacterium. RNAcentral's name for it is "bacterial SSU rRNA". It matches the Rfam family "Bacterial small subunit ribosomal RNA", at positions 355 to 774 of the family's 1533-position model. The record is from RNAcentral.